This 648-nucleotide ribosomal RNA is filed under the name Triticum aestivum (bread wheat). RNAcentral's name for it is "partial small subunit ribosomal RNA". The record is from RNAcentral. Lineage: Eukaryota; Viridiplantae; Streptophyta; Magnoliopsida; Poales; Poaceae.
AUGGCCACCGCAGCGCGCGCCGUCGCCGCCGCCGCGCGCCCGGCGCGGCCGGUGCUCCUCUCGCGGAGACUCCCGUGCCCCUCCGGUUGCCCCGCGCGGCGGCCUCGGGUCGGCCGCGCCGUCCGCUGCAUGGCGCGGCGGCCCGACGCCUCGUACUCGCCGCUGCGGCCGGGGCAGGGCGGGGACCGCGCGCCCACGGAGAUGGCGCCGCUGUUCCCCGGCUGCGACUACGAGCACUGGCUCAUCGUCAUGGACAAGCCCGGCGGCGAGGGCGCCACCAAGCAGCAGAUGAUCGACUGCUACAUCCAGACCCUCGCCAAGGUCGUGGGGAGCGAGGAGGAGGCGAAGAAGAGGAUCUACAACGUGUCCUGUGAGCGUUACUUUGGGUUUGGGUGCGAGAUUGACGAGGAAACAUCCAACAAGCUGGAAGGCCUCCCGGGUGUUCUUUUUGUGCUUCCGGAUUCCUAUGUUGAUGCUGAGAACAAGGACUAUGGCGCCGAGUUAUUUGUGAACGGAGAGAUCGUCCAACGAUCACCGGAAAGGCAGAGAAGGGUGGAGCCGGUGCCUCAGAGGGCUCAAGAUAGACCGCGUUACAGCGACCGGACUCGCUAUGUGAAGCGGAGGGAGAACCAGGCCUACCAACGGUGA